GACAGGCUGUCCGAGUGGUUAAGGAGUUUGACUUGAAUUUGUAUAAGGUUCAUGGUUAUCAAAUGCGGUCCCCGCGCGUAGGUUCGAAUCCUGCGCCUGUCG
RNAcentral lists this transfer RNA (102 nucleotides) under Lipomyces starkeyi. Its description in RNAcentral is "tRNA-Ser". It matches the Rfam family "tRNA". From Rfam's summary of the family: Transfer RNA (tRNA) molecules are approximately 80 nucleotides in length. Their secondary structure includes four short double-helical elements and three loops (D, anti-codon, and T loops). RNAcentral also lists the same sequence under 1 other name. Lineage: Eukaryota; Fungi; Ascomycota; Lipomycetes; Lipomycetales; Lipomycetaceae. The record is from RNAcentral.